CACAGGCUUGGGAGUGUGUCCCCAUAAGCUUUGGUAGCAGCAAGCAGGGCAGACCCUGGCUCUCCCAACAAUGCAACGGGCAUCUCCACUGAUGCCCAGAGAGCUAGACCAAAGCAGAAGCCCUGCAAACUUCGGUAAAGUCAAAAUCCUGUAAACACUUGGAUGCGUUCAUGAUAUAACACAUCCAAGAACGGUGCUGUUCAGUUUAGUGCGACUGCUCCUCGUGGAGGAACGGCGUCAGGCUGCCAGAAUAGCUGCGCUCUGCUAGGGCAGGCCUGUCGCACCCAGGCUUUCCAGCAGCAGCUAGUUAUAGAUGCAAAGGGAAUAAUAAAAGAAUAGGGCAGACAUACCCCCCUGAUACAUUUUCCCAGUUUCCAGUAACAUCCUAGCAUAGUACCUUGCUUUUUGGCUCCUGAUGUAGGGAAGGUCCUUUUACCUCCAGAGGAAUUAAGUGGAUGUUCCUGUCCUCGCCCCAGCAGGUACCAAGGCCCUCUCCAAGCAGGGACUCAAGCUUUGCUGUGGUCAUUUUAUGCCUCGUCCUCUACCUCACCCAAAUGUGCAGAUCAGCCUAGCUGAGAGGUUUCUCUGAAACAAAGGGUUUGUGUAUGGAUGGUGCAGUAAAUACAUGGAUACUGGCUUCUCCUGUCUGCAGUAACCCACUGGUUCUGGUAUAAGAAAAUUGAUGAAUACAAAGCUGCCAUGAAGACACACAUUGUAAAGAGAACAGAUGCUGUGAAAAAAAUAUAUAAAUAAAAUAAAGUAAAAUAAUACAAAAUGUUUAUCUACCCAGGGCUCAGAGAGCAAUUUCCUUUCAUAUUCCACAGCCUGGAACACGCACAGACCGAGAGAAGUUCAUAAAAGGCCUGCUUGGCCCUUAUCACCCUUGUUUCUUCUCCUUUCUCUUCCUCAGUCCUGCUCACUCCCCCUCAGCCCCUGCUCUCAUUUCCUCCAUCACAGACACAGCAGAAACAACACCGAUAGGAAGCAUGUUUUCCUCCGCUGGGCUGCUCACGCUGCUCCAAAAUGAAUUCUCUAGCCAUCAUCUCUCCUCAAACCUCAGCUGUGGGAAAAAUCCCAUGGGGAAAAAGGAAACCCAGGACUGACCAGGUCCUGGCUCUGCCCUGUCCGCUGUGAACUGAUUUCUGCUGAAGACACAUUAGGAAUGUUAACAGUAAGUAUUCACAGAGGAGAGCACUUCUCCCUUUUAGUCAAGAUGUUCAGAUGGGGCCCCAUAGCAGCAGGGAGCCUGGACUUCUAAGCAAGAAAUU
RNAcentral lists this long non-coding RNA (1268 nucleotides) under Anser brachyrhynchus (Pink-footed goose). Its description in RNAcentral is "lncRNA (ENSABRG00000004136.1)". Lineage: Eukaryota; Metazoa; Chordata; Aves; Anseriformes; Anatidae. The record is from RNAcentral.